UAGGGGAACGUAGGGUGCUGGGGUGUUCGGCUCCGGUGCCCCUCAGGAGCCCCCCCGCAGCGGGAUCCGGGUGCCCCCGGGGAGGUGUUUGCCUGGGUGUGCCGGGGAGGAACCGGGCUGUGCCUCGCCCUCCGCCCCGCUGUGAGGGCUGAAGGGGAUGCGAAAUGCUUUCGUGUGGUGCUGGUGAAUCUGGCUUUUAAAUUAAUUUUGGGACAGAGCAACUGCUAUGAUGUGGUAGGGAGUAAUUAUAAACUGUGGAAGGUGGCGGGCGCUCUUGCUUCUCGUCAGCCAGGAUCCUGGACACGCACAAGUGUGUGGCAGAAAGGAGGUUUUUCACAGCUUUCUUCAGAUUUCCCAACAGAGGAAUGUCCUCUGACCGUGCCGUUGGAAAAUGUGGAUAGACAUUAUCCUGGAAGAACAGACUUUAAUCUGCAAAAGAGGCACAGAGACCUCACUUUCCCCAAAUGAUUCAAUGUGUCCUGAAGAUACUGGAUCAGUCCAUGAGGUGGCUCUGGCUCCUGCCUGUUUUGCUUAUGCCUGAGCCGCUGUUUCAGGGAGCUGUGGGGGAGCCAGGCUUCGUGAUCUGCUUCCCAUCAGGACUGUUCCCUGCACAAUUCUCUACACGCUCCUGCUUCUGAAGCCUCAGACAAAACUUCGUGAGUGCUGCACAGGUCAGUCCCUGGGACGAGGCAGUCUCCCAUGCCAACAAACACCUCUGUCAUUUACAAACAUUCCUGUGCUGCCAAGCUGACAGCUGCUUGCUCACAUGGCGGGGCUGCACCAGCAAUGCACAACUGUUGAACCACAGGAGAGCUGGCAACAAACCCCCUCCUCUGCCUCGUGGACACUGGUGCUGCCUCUGACGUGGAGGAGGAAACCUCUGUCCCUGACCUCCCCAGGAACAGCUCACCUUGGGUCCCUGUUUGUCAUGCCUUACCUACCAAGCUAUUAGUAUCAGGCUUUGGUGAUUAAUUGCUGCUGCAAUUCCCGUAAAGCUGGAAAAUACAGAGCCACCCCCAAUUGUGUCCUUAACUGCACGGGCCAAGUACAGCUAGAAAAUUGAAUGUGUUCAUUUUGUUAUAGUUGCUGAGAGAAGCACCAGGAGUGACUCUGUGCUUUUGGAACAAACAGUGCUUGUGACAUGAGAGUGGUUCAUUCCUUCAGCUGGACCCACAGGUAGGAAAAUGUGGGGAAAAAAGCAAUUUUUAAUCGGCACACAAGAUAACUAGUCCAUAUUACAAGGUAUCACUCUUCUCAAAAGAGACAAACAUUUCACAUCAAUGCUGUCACACCGUGCCUCACCCGUGAUGCCUCCUGAAGAAGCAGAACCACCUCCAUGCUCCUCGCUGGCACAGAUGAAACCGAACCUUGUAGUCCCAACGCAGCUUUUGCUGAAUGGAAACAGGGUGGACCUGGGAAAAAGAGGCUGGGAAAGCUCAGCUUUCUGCACCUGUACUCACGAGGUGGGUAAGGACAGAGACUGCUGCUGCUGGGAAGGCUGCACAGUAGUUUCUGUAUGCACCUUCCCCACCUCAGCAGCAGCAGCAGGCCACCUGUUUCCCUGCGGUGCUGGCUCUAUCGAAGCAGGAGGAGACCCAGGUCUCCGUGUUCCCUCCUCUCCUACCUAUUGCCUGGGGCAGCUUCAGGCUCCUUUCCAAGAGAAGCCUCUGCUGUUGGAGCCAGAGUUCAACCACGUUACCAAAGCCCGUGGUGUCUUGAAACUAAGCACGCCCGCAGCUGCUGGGAAGUGAGCGAAGGCGCUCUGAGAACAGCCAGUUCCCUUCCUCCGAGAGAUCUCCCAUCAGUUGCCAGUUCCUGAACUUUGGCUCCGGCCAGGAGGCAGUCAGCAAAUCAGAUAAUUGCCUGGCAGUGAUUGAUACAGAGUCAAGGGUGAGUGGGGAGGGGGGGAAUGAGCGGGGAGGAUUGUGUUUCAGAGGGAAGUGUUUUUUUAGGAUUUGUCUAUGCAGGCAGUUGGGAGCUUUUUUCAGCCGCAUUGGCUUAACCUGAGCAGAAGGACUCGCUGUAGUUUUACACCUUUUCAGCAUUUCAGCUGGUUCUGCUGAAAUCUAUAUAGGGAUUAAAGAUAAGAAGGGACAGAAAAUUGGUUUCCCUGACUUUGCAGAGAAAAACUACUCAAGGCUAAAUGGAAGUUUAAUAUAUUUUGACUGUAUUAAUGCAGAGAGGAAGAGCGGGCACCUGCCGCUGAUAAAUAACUAUUAGGAAACAGUAUUAGAAAAAAGAAAUGCUGCUGCUGGGAUCUGCAUUCAGCAUUGGGGUGUUCAUAACCAGGCAGCUCAAAAUUUACUUAGGUAUCAACAGCUUGUGUGCAGCUUCUCUCAAACGCAGCACAGCAGCCCUGCUAGAGAAGCCUGCACUCAGGCUCUGAUAAGGAAGGGAAGUCAGCUCGUUGCACAGCUCAACAUUUCAGCCCUCCAAUCAGCCAUACCUAGGGUUAGCAACAGCAUCGUGUACUUCAGCAAAUUUACAUUCAAACUGCUAUCUACAAAGGGAAGUAAAGCUUAUCUGUAGCCUAUUGCUGUAACUUUGAUACUGAUCUUUAUAGCCAUGUUUCCAGUAAGCCUAGUGAGAACCUGUGAGUUAUAAACUGCUUAAACUGAACUGUCUGAAUGUAGAGAUGUUAGUAAAAUUCCUAUCCAUCUUCUAAUUAAGGUUUUUACCAGGUUUGAGAUAUAGUUGCAGAACUAUUGUAACACCAAGCUGAUGGGAAAUGUCUGCAGUCAUACACAAAUGGCGCUGCAUUAGAAAUGCUGUUCCAUUUCAAGCACGCAGCAUCACGCAGUGUACUCUGCCCUGCAGCCCAUUCCCUCGCUUCCACUGGGUGCUUUCUCAAGGCAGUGUCUGCUGCACAGAAAGAGGGGAUAGUCAUUUGGCAAAUUUUGCAUGGCAGAAUCUGAGACACGAGCAGCUUUUUAAACAUUCCCAGGCACCCUACCCAAAACUUUUCUCCUCCCACCACUGGUGUUGGAAAGCAGCCGCUGUUCCCGAUCUCCAUCUUCUGUAUUUUACUGAUCUAAAAGCACCAAAUGGAAUCGAGCAUGUUAAACAGCCAGAAUUUUAUUAUGCAAAAUGCAAAGCUCUCCGAAAACUUCAGCUUGGGAAGAAUAUAAUUAGGAUAAUUGAAAUUGGAAAAAGGAUCUGAAGUGCUAAAAAAAAGAAAUGAAAGAAAAGGCAUCAGAGGGAUAGCUUGGUAGAAGGGAGAUAGAUGGUUUACAGUGACUAGUAAGAACUGAAGUAUCUUUCAGAGCAAGUCCUGCUGCAGGCUACGGGCAAGUGAGCCUGACCUGGUGGAGGCACAGCCAAGGUUCAAGCACUUGGAGUGCCAAACAACAGGACAGCACGCACACCGAGAAGGCUCCUCAGUGCCUGGCUCGUAGCAGAUCUCCCAUUCCCCCUCGGCACGGGUUAUUGUUAAGCCAGGAGGCUGACUGCUUUCCUCUCCAGGAUAUACGGGGAGAAGAGGCUCCUCCCUUCCAGCUGCCUGUCUGUCCUGCUGGCCAUAAAACUUCUGCAGCCUGACACAAAGCUACAGCUGCCACUAAAGGAAGCAGCAGCCCGUGGGCACCAGCUGGUGUGCUUGCUUGCUUGCUUCCGACCUUGACUUCUUCAGAUCUGCGGGUUUGUCCAUCUCGCUGACAGCCCCAGACAGCCAUCUGCUGGGCAAUCGAAAAAUAAAAAUAAAAAAAAUUAAACAGCACUCACAACCAGGACGGUUGUUGCAGUUCUUCCUAUGAGAUCAGGAUCUGCCCACGAUGACAGGACAGCUGGAACAGGCAGGUGUUUGGAAUUUUGAGAGCAUGUGCACAUCUGUCCCUCCCAACAAGUGUCAGUAUUUCUGGAACACAUAACUUAAGAGGGAAGGAAAGGAAAAAAAAAUAAUAAUAAAAUAAUAAAAAAACAGCUUCAUGAAACUUCUUAAAGCUGACAGAAAUCUACUAGGCAUUGCAGGCAGAAAGAUGACCAGAGCAGAUGGGGAGCCAAGGCAGCACAGAGAGAGCGUUGGGUUGUUAGGAAGCACAGACCUGUUCCUCUUGAAACAAGUUUGGAUUUAGCCUCAGCAAACCUAGAUUUGUGUUUAAAACAUCUCAGAGAUUAACGUCCUUUAACUGCUGCUUCUCUGAACCAGUGUUAACUCAGCGUUUGUGCUUUAAGCAUUUCAUUCAUCCAUAGCUGCAGUGAUUUGAGAGGCAGGAGCAGCAGCAGGUUCCUAGGCAGUGGGGAAGGUCUGCAGCUGGCGAUAAGGCAGGGAGAACGCAGAGCCAACUCCAAGCAACCAUGCUUGUCCCACCCCACGGGCUCUCUCAAUGGUUUGACACCUCCAACCCCCUCCCAAAGGUAAAUCACCAAGGUGGACUCUGGGGAAGGCAGGUUCCCUUCUGGUCCUUCCUAAGAAUUGGGAAGGAAAAUGGAAUUCAGAGCUUCUGAAGCAGCAUUGGGUGGGAUGUACUGAGGAAAGAUCCCAUCUGUGGAAAGCCAAGGUGAGGACUGUUUCUUUAUGGCACAGCCCAACAGGCCCACAGAGGAUCAAGGGCAACCUCUCAGUUGCCUUUUCUGUGGGGUCAGCUUUGUUA
Long non-coding RNA from Oxyura jamaicensis (ruddy duck), 4589 nucleotides. RefSeq lists it as uncharacterized. The transcript is spliced from 3 exons. NCBI's taxonomy places the organism in Eukaryota, Metazoa, Chordata, Aves, Anseriformes, Anatidae. The record is from RefSeq and is a predicted model, not a curated record.